GUGCAGCAGUCGCGAAACUUCACAAUGUGCGAAAGCACGAUGAGGGAAUCCCAAGUGCUUGCUCGUAAGAGUAAGCUGUUUCUCUGUCUAAAACGCAGAGAGAGUAAGGGCUGGGUAAGACGGGUGCCAGCCGCCGCGGUAAUACCUGCAGCUCGAGUGGUGGCCGCUAUUAUGGGCCUAAAACGUCCGUAGCCGGUUUAUAAAUGCCUGGGUAAAUCGGACCGCUUAACGGUUCGAAUUCCGGGUAGACUGAUAAACUUGAGACCGGGAGGAGCUAGAGGUACUCCUGGGGUAGAGGUGAAAUUCUGUAAUCCUAGGGGGACCACCAGUGGCGAAGGCGUCUAGCUAGAACGGGUCUGACGGUGAGGGACGAAGCCCUGGGGCGCAAAC
RNAcentral lists this ribosomal RNA (390 nucleotides) under uncultured microorganism. RNAcentral describes it as "bacterial SSU rRNA". It matches the Rfam family "Archaeal small subunit ribosomal RNA", at positions 330 to 724 of the family's 1478-position model. The record is from RNAcentral.